Molecule: long non-coding RNA, 636 nt
Organism: Psammomys obesus (fat sand rat)
Lineage: Eukaryota; Metazoa; Chordata; Mammalia; Rodentia; Muridae
Exons: 4
Source: RefSeq, a predicted model, not a curated record
GCAGGGAAGGCAGGUGUGGGAGGUGGGGCAGGGCUGCAGAUGCCCCCGAGCCUGGAGCCACCAGGACAUCAGCGGGAACCUGAGGGCCAGAGGCAGGGUCCUCUGGGUAGGAUAGGCUCUCUGGCUGCUUCCACAGGAAGUUCGGUCACAGCUGCCAUGUGGGCCUGUGACUCAGCAAGUCCAGCGGUGCUCAGCAAACUGGGGAUUAUCUGGUUUAUCCAAAGAGCCAACGAAGAGGAUCCUCAUGCUCAGCUGUCCUAGAACUCACUCUGUAGACCAGGCUGGCUGUGAACUCACAAGGAGGCCUGUGCAUUGCUACUGCAAGGAUUAAAGGAGGCCGGAAGAGAGUAUUGGAUCACAGCUCUGGAACUGGAGUUACAGAUGUUGUGAUCACUGUGUGAGUGCUAGAACUGAACCAAGGUCCUCUGCAAGAGCAGCAAGUACACUAGCCAACGAGCCGUCUCUCCUGCCUCCCAGUGUGGUUUUGCUUUUUUUUUUUUUUUUUUUUUUUGGUUUUCUUUUUUUCUAGGGUUUCUCUGUAUUGCCCUGGCUGCCUUGGAACUUGCUUUGUAGACCAGGUUGGCCUUAAACUUAGAAAUCCAUCUGCCUCUGCAGGAUUAAAGACAUGUGCCACCA